CAGUCGCCGCGGGAAUACGGAGGGUGCAAGCGUUAAUCGGAAUUACUGGGCGUAAAGCGUGCGUAGGCGGUGAGUUAAGUCUGCUGUGAAAUCCCCGGGCUCAACCUGGGAAUGGCAGUGGAUACUGGCUCGCUAGAGUGUGUCAGAGGAUGGUGGAAUUCCCGGUGUAGCGGUGAAAUGCGUAGAGAUCGGGAGGAACAUCAGUGGCGAAGGCGGCCAUCUGGGACAACACUGACGCUGAGGCACGAAAGCGUGGGGAGCAAACAGGAUUAGAUACCCCAGUAGUCCCUGUCUCUUAUAA
Molecule: ribosomal RNA, 301 nt
Filed under: uncultured bacterium
Lineage: Bacteria
Description: partial 16S ribosomal RNA
Rfam family: Bacterial small subunit ribosomal RNA
Source: RNAcentral